RNAcentral lists this ribosomal RNA (263 nucleotides) under uncultured Sphingomonadales bacterium. RNAcentral's name for it is "partial 16S ribosomal RNA". It matches the Rfam family "Bacterial small subunit ribosomal RNA", at positions 505 to 767 of the family's 1533-position model. The record is from RNAcentral. Lineage: Bacteria; Pseudomonadati; Pseudomonadota; Alphaproteobacteria; Sphingomonadales.
GUGCCAGCCGCCGCGGUAAUACGGAGGGAGCUAGCGUUGUUCGGAAUUACUGGGCGUAAAGCGCACGUAGGCGGCUUUGUAAGUUAGAGGUGAAAGCCCGGAGCUCAACUCCAGAAUUGCCUUUAAGACUGCAUCGCUUGAAUCCAGGAGAGGUGAGUGGAAUUCCGAGUGUAGAGGUGAAAUUCGUAGAUAUUCGGAAGAACACCAGUGGCGAAGGCGGCUCACUGGACUGGUAUUGACGCUGAGGUGCGAAAGCGUGGGGA